Molecule: RNA transcript, 2209 nt
Organism: Falco peregrinus (peregrine falcon)
Lineage: Eukaryota; Metazoa; Chordata; Aves; Falconiformes; Falconidae
Gene: MRPL42
Gene name: mitochondrial ribosomal protein L42
Exons: 6
Source: RefSeq, a predicted model, not a curated record
UUUCUUCUGCUGUCAGCAUGGCAAUGUCAGUUAGAGCUGUGUGGUCCAGCUUGUUCUGGAUGCGUUCAGUAGCAACCUGUAAGCAGACCCCACUGCAGAAUGGAGCUAUGUAUCGUGCUUGCCAUAAAUCUACAUAUUCAGUUCUCCCUGAAGACUACAAUUGCAAAGUGGAACUUGCGGUGACAUCAGAUUUGAAGACAAUUGUCUGCUACCACCCUUCGCUUGAGAUUCCAUACGAGCAUACAAAACCCGUACCACGGCCAGAUCCAGUGAAUAAUAAAGAAGAAACCCUUGAUCAAGUUUUGAAAUCCAGAUUGAAUGAAAAAGAUCUAAAGAACAAUAGCGGUCCUACAAUUGAAGAGCUCAGCAAAAUGUUUUACACAACAAAACAUCGCUGGUAUCCUGUGGGACAAUACCACAGAAGACGCAAGAAUCCUAAUCCUCCUAAAGAUCGAUAAUUAAGAUAACUUCUUGUUCGUCAGCGCUUUGCUGUUGAUCUUUAUUGGAAAUAAAAAUUACAGAAAAGGAGAUCCUUUACUCCAGUCUACAAUUUUAGGCAUCAGACUUCUGAUAGAAAGAGCUGGCUUAGAACAUUGUGCCUCUGCAGAGAUCCCAGUGACUUCAUAAUGUCUCCUAAGGAGAUCCUUAUACAUAAUAAAAAAAGAAUUAUCCCAUAUAUGUAAUUCAUUUUGAUUGUAUUUCCUUUCUAAAGCAACUUUGGUAAGCUAGGAAGGUUCUCGUUUCUUCUGUUAGUUUAAUUUUGCCAGCAUGUGAUACCUACAGAUUUUGCUCGGAGUACCUCAUAAAGUCUCUAAUCCUGUCACUGUUAGUAUAAAACAUGCUUAUUUUUCUGAGGUUAUUACCAAAUAACCUUUUUCCUUUAAUUUCCUUUAAUUAAUUUAAUUUCCUUAACACGAUGUUGGAUGUGUGUAAAAGUCUGCCUCUAAAUACUUCUGGAAAAUUUUAUGUGAAGCUAGUUGAAGUAUUUCUUGGUAUUAUUUUUAAAAAUACAUUUUUAAAUCCAAAUGCCAGUUAGCUGAUAAUGGCUUAUCAUGGCAGAGCAUGGAAUCAUUUUGCGUACUCUUUCAGUUAAGAUAUCUGAGUCCAUGUUUAAGCCUACACCAGCCAAAUUAUUUUGGCUCCACAUUAUACUAUAUGUUGCUUGUGUGAUAACAAACGCGGUAUCAUGAAGGAAUGUCUAUUGUGUCUAUGAAAAGGACCACUGCUUAUUCUGCAAGUUCAAUUGCAUGAAAAUGGUUAUUUUUUUCUGCCUAGAAUAUAACCUUAAAAAAAAGUCUUCAGUGAUUUGCAGUACAACAGAUUUUAGUAUUUUCAUCUAUUUAUGGUGCCUGGUACUGAUACGGGUCCUUAAGCGAGAAGCUUACAUCUCAUGUUUAGAGUUUUGUUACAUUCCACUGCAUAAAAUCAAGCCCUUUUUAUUUCUGUAAAACUGAGACCCAAUUUGUCACUGUUCAACUUUACACCAGUGUAAAAAGAGAUAUCCUUGGACUAAUUUAAACUUUCAGUUAUUUUUCCCCCUUCUCCCUGAUGCUUUUGCUUAUUGCUGCCUAAUACUAUUAAGGCAUUUUGCUUUACAGAAACCUUGUUACUACAUUUGUCUUUUCUGGCCUGUCAAACCCUGUUUGUGAUCAAACAUCCACAAUCACUGUAGAAAUGGUGGAUUUCUCAAUGUUUCCCAAGCAUUUCUGGAUGCUUUUCAGGCAUUUUGAGGCCUAAAAAAUCUAUGAUGUGCUGGACUGCUGUACUUUAAAUGUCUUCUGACCAGCUACUGGAAACUGAGUCUAAAACACGUUCCCUACAUAUACCCUCUGCCAUUUUGUUGCUACGUUAAUUCGUAAAAUUGGUAUUUUAAAAUCUUUCCCUGCAUUACACUGCCGCUCAGUCUUUCUAUGCUCUCAUCUACUAAAUCUUUCUUCUGGGUCAUCUGAAGCAUGACUUAAUUAAAAUCCUACUCUCUCAGUAAUUCCAAGCUGUUCCCGAUUUUCUAGUCUUGAACAUCUACAUAAAGCUGUCUUUAUCUGUUUCUCUUCACUUAAACUUGGAAUUAGAAAUCCAUCCAUUUGAUUCUUGUCCCACUUCAUGCAAAAGAAUGAUCCCUUUGAAAGUUAAUCUGGGAUUUCUUAUUUUCUGUUGCUCUUGGUCUUUGUAAUUGAAAACUUAAGUUGCAUAAAAUUUACAAUGUUGUUAA